AAUUUUGCUAGUUGGAAUCAUAAGAUGAAAAUGCAUAUUCUCGGACAUAACCCCGCCGUUUGGGCUAUUGUUUGUAUUGGUUUGCAAGGUGAAUUCUUUGAUGGGAGAGAACCGAACCGUGAAGCUAGUGCGGAUGAAUUGAAGAUGCUGCAAUACAACGCUCAAGCUUGGGAUAUCCUCUUCAACGGAUUGUGCCCCGAAGAAUUCAACAAAAUCAGUCGUCUUGAGAAUGCAAAGGAAAUUUGGGAUACUUUGAUUGAUAUGCAUGAAGGUACUGACUCCGUCAAGGAAUCCAAGUUGGAUGUGCUCCAAAGUCAGCUUGACAAGUUCGAAAUGAAGGAUGGUGAAGGUGUCACUGAAAUGUACUCUAGGCUUGCUCUUAUCACAAAUGAGAUUGCCGGCUUAGGGAGUGAAGAGAUGACCGACAGAUUCAUCAUCAAGAAGAUCCUAAGAGCAUUGGAUGGAAAGUAUGAUACCGUGUGCACAUUGAUCCAAAUGAUGCCAAACUACAAAGAUCUCAAGCCAACGGAAGUCAUUGGAAGAAUUGUUGCUCAUGUGAUGUCACUCAAGGAUAAGGAGGAACUUCACAACAAGUCAAGUGGU
RNAcentral lists this ribosomal RNA (603 nucleotides) under Triticum aestivum (bread wheat). Its description in RNAcentral is "partial small subunit ribosomal RNA". The record is from RNAcentral. Lineage: Eukaryota; Viridiplantae; Streptophyta; Magnoliopsida; Poales; Poaceae.